Molecule: microRNA precursor, 101 nt
Filed under: Marmota monax (woodchuck)
Lineage: Eukaryota; Metazoa; Chordata; Mammalia; Rodentia; Sciuridae
Source: RNAcentral
GGUGAAGUUGCUGGGUUAUAUGGGACAUAUAAUUUUUCUAAUAAAAAACUUCCAAAUAAUUUCCCAAAGAGGUUGUAUCAUUUUGCAUUUCCAACAGCAAU